AAGGUCUUAAGUUAAAAAAACUAAUAACCUUCAAAGCUAUAAAUAAAGAAUAUCUCUUUAGGCCUUA
Molecule: transfer RNA, 67 nt
Filed under: Procryptotermes hesperus
Lineage: Eukaryota; Metazoa; Arthropoda; Insecta; Blattodea; Kalotermitidae
Description: tRNA-Trp
Source: RNAcentral